UGGGGAAUAUUGGACAAUGGGCGCAAGCCUGAUCCAGCCAUGCCGCGUGAGUGAAGAAGGCCUUAGGGUUGUAAAGCUCUUUCACCCGUGACGAUGAUGACGGUAGCGGGAGAAGAAGCCCCGGCUAACUCCGUGCCAGCAGCCGCGGUAAUACGGAGGGGGCGAGCGUUGUUCGGAAUUACAGGGCGUAAAGGGCGCGUAGGUCCUAGAU
Molecule: ribosomal RNA, 211 nt
Filed under: uncultured prokaryote
Description: partial 16S ribosomal RNA
Rfam family: Bacterial small subunit ribosomal RNA
Source: RNAcentral